Electrophorus electricus (electric eel) is the source of this 317-nucleotide long non-coding RNA. The record is from Ensembl. NCBI's taxonomy places the organism in Eukaryota, Metazoa, Chordata, Actinopteri, Gymnotiformes, Gymnotidae.
AUAGAUUAAAUCACUUUUAGAGUGUCAUAUGAGGAUUUUCACAAUAGUAUUAUAACUCUGUAUCUCUCUUCACUGACAGGGGGAGGCAGGGCCAGAUGGUAGUCCAGGCACACCUGGAGAAGCUGGCAAGCCUGGAACAAAAGGUAGACGAGGCCCUGCAGGAAUACCGGGUGCCAGGGGACCUCCAGGAGCACCGGGAUUACAAGGAACCUCUGGGGCUCCAGGGCCAGUGGGGAUAAUUGGUCCUCCUGGUGGUCCAGGACAGAAAGGGCUUCCUGGUUUACCUGGACCUCAGGUAUGCUUCCAAAUCCCUACAU